AUGUUAGGUUCAAACCAUCACUUAACUCUAUCCAAAAUCUGCAACCCAGAUAAGCCAUCAUACUCAAGCCACUAUUCGACUCUGUCAACUAAAGACUUAGGGGACUUCUGUUUCAAGCAAGACUGUUUGUUGAUCCAAAUGACCAACACAACACAAGACAACUACCUCGUCUUCCUAGAAUUUCCAUCUUCAAUUGCUGUUACUGUUAAUGUCGUGAUUGAACAUUCGGAGCAUUUGGAUUAG
This is a non-coding RNA of Vicia faba (fava bean), 243 nucleotides long. The record is from the annotation of a GenBank genome assembly. NCBI's taxonomy places the organism in Eukaryota, Viridiplantae, Streptophyta, Magnoliopsida, Fabales, Fabaceae.